RNAcentral lists this ribosomal RNA (2903 nucleotides) under Staphylococcus aureus. RNAcentral describes it as "partial 23S ribosomal RNA". It matches the Rfam family "Bacterial large subunit ribosomal RNA". Lineage: Bacteria; Bacillati; Bacillota; Bacilli; Caryophanales; Staphylococcaceae. The record is from RNAcentral.
GAUUAAGUUAUUAAGGGCGCACGGUGGAUGCCUUGGCACUAGAAGCCGAUGAAGGACGUUACUAACGACGAUAUGCUUUGGGGAGCUGUAAGUAAGCUUUGAUCCAGAGAUUUCCGAAUGGGGAAACCCAGCAUGAGUUAUGUCAUGUUAUCGAUAUGUGAAUACAUAGCAUAUCAGAAGGCACACCCGGAGAACUGAAACAUCUUAGUACCCGGAGGAAGAGAAAGAAAAUUCGAUUCCCUUAGUAGCGGCGAGCGAAACGGGAAGAGCCCAAACCAACAAGCUUGCUUGUUGGGGUUGUAGGACACUCUAUACGGAGUUACAAAGGACGACAUUAGACGAAUCAUCUGGAAAGAUGAAUCAAAGAAGGUAAUAAUCCUGUAGUCGAAAAUGUUGUCUCUCUUGAGUCGAUCCUGAGUACGACGGAGCACGUGAAAUUCCGUCGGAAUCUGGGAGGACCAUCUCCUAAGGCUAAAUACUCUCUAGUGACCGAUAGUGAACCAGUACCGUGAGGGAAAGGUGAAAAGCACCCCGGAAGGGGAGUGAAAUAGAACCUGAAACCGUGUGCUUACAAGUAGUCAGAGCCCGUUAAUGGGUGAUGGCGUGCCUUUUGUAGAAUGAACCGGCGAGUUACGAUUUGAUGCAAGGUUAAGCAGUAAAUGUGGAGCCGUAGCGAAAGCGAGUCUGAAUAGGGCGUUUAGUAUUUGGUCGUAGACCCGAAACCAGGUGAUCUACCCUUGGUCAGGUUGAAGUUCAGGUAACACUGAAUGGAGGACCGAACCGACUUACGUUGAAAAGUGAGCGGAUGAACUGAGGGUAGCGGAGAAAUUCCAAUCGAACCUGGAGAUAGCUGGUUCUCUCCGAAAUAGCUUUAGGGCUAGCCUCAAGUGAUGAUUAUUGGAGGUAGAGCACUGUUUGGACGAGGGGCCCCUCUCGGGUUACCGAAUUCAGACAAACUCCGAAUGCCAAUUAAUUUAACUUGGGAGUCAGAACAUGGGUGAUAAGGUCCGUGUUCGAAAGGGAAACAGCCCAGACCACCAGCUAAGGUCCCAAAAUAUAUGUUAAGUGGAAAAGGAUGUGGCGUUGCCCAGACAACUAGGAUGUUGGCUUAGAAGCAGCCAUCAUUUAAAGAGUGCGUAAUAGCUCACUAGUCGAGUGACACUGCGCCGAAAAUGUACCGGGGCUAAACAUAUUACCGAAGCUGUGGAUUGUCCUUUGGACAAUGGUAGGAGAGCGUUCUAAGGGCGUUGAAGCAUGAUCGUAAGGACAUGUGGAGCGCUUAGAAGUGAGAAUGCCGGUGUGAGUAGCGAAAGACGGGUGAGAAUCCCGUCCACCGAUUGACUAAGGUUUCCAGAGGAAGGCUCGUCCGCUCUGGGUUAGUCGGGUCCUAAGCUGAGGCCGACAGGCGUAGGCGAUGGAUAACAGGUUGAUAUUCCUGUACCACCUAUAAUCGUUUUAAUCGAUGGGGGGACGCAGUAGGAUAGGCGAAGCGUGCGAUUGGAUUGCACGUCUAAGCAGUAAGGCUGAGUAUUAGGCAAAUCCGGUACUCAUUAAGGCUGAGCUGUGAUGGGGAGAAGACAUUGUGUCUUCGAGUCGUUGAUUUCACACUGCCGAGAAAAGCCUCUAGAUAGAAAAUAGGUGCCCGUACCGCAAACCGACACAGGUAGUCAAGAUGAGAAUUCUAAGGUGAGCGAGCGAACUCUCGUUAAGGAACUCGGCAAAAUGACCCCGUAACUUCGGGAGAAGGGGUGCUCUUUAGGGUUAACGCCCAGAAGAGCCGCAGUGAAUAGGCCCAAGCGACUGUUUAUCAAAAACACAGGUCUCUGCUAAACCGUAAGGUGAUGUAUAGGGGCUGACGCCUGCCCGGUGCUGGAAGGUUAAGAGGAGUGGUUAGCUUCUGCGAAGCUACGAAUCGAAGCCCCAGUAAACGGCGGCCGUAACUAUAACGGUCCUAAGGUAGCGAAAUUCCUUGUCGGGUAAGUUCCGACCCGCACGAAAGGCGUAACGAUUUGGGCACUGUCUCAACGAGAGACUCGGUGAAAUCAUAGUACCUGUGAAGAUGCAGGUUACCCGCGACAGGACGGAAAGACCCCGUGGAGCUUUACUGUAGCCUGAUAUUGAAAUUCGGCACAGCUUGUACAGGAUAGGUAGGAGCCUUUGAAACGUGAGCGCUAGCUUACGUGGAGGCGCUGGUGGGAUACUACCCUAGCUGUGUUGGCUUUCUAACCCGCACCACUUAUCGUGGUGGGAGACAGUGUCAGGCGGGCAGUUUGACUGGGGCGGUCGCCUCCUAAAAGGUAACGGAGGCGCUCAAAGGUUCCCUCAGAAUGGUUGGAAAUCAUUCAUAGAGUGUAAAGGCAUAAGGGAGCUUGACUGCGAGACCUACAAGUCGAGCAGGGUCGAAAGACGGACUUAGUGAUCCGGUGGUUCCGCAUGGAAGGGCCAUCGCUCAACGGAUAAAAGCUACCCCGGGGAUAACAGGCUUAUCUCCCCCAAGAGUUCACAUCGACGGGGAGGUUUGGCACCUCGAUGUCGGCUCAUCGCAUCCUGGGGCUGUAGUCGGUCCCAAGGGUUGGGCUGUUCGCCCAUUAAAGCGGUACGCGAGCUGGGUUCAGAACGUCGUGAGACAGUUCGGUCCCUAUCCGUCGUGGGCGUAGGAAAUUUGAGAGGAGCUGUCCUUAGUACGAGAGGACCGGGAUGGACAUACCUCUGGUGUACCAGUUGUCGUGCCAACGGCAUAGCUGGGUAGCUAUGUGUGGACGGGAUAAGUGCUGAAAGCAUCUAAGCAUGAAGCCCCCCUCAAGAUGAGAUUUCCCAACUUCGGUUAUAAGAUCCCUCAAAGAUGAUGAGGUUAAUAGGUUCGAGGUGGAAGCAUGGUGACAUGUGGAGCUGACGAAUACUAA